This 487-nucleotide ribosomal RNA is filed under the name Pimelia escalerai. Its description in RNAcentral is "partial large subunit ribosomal RNA". It matches the Rfam family "Bacterial large subunit ribosomal RNA", at positions 1851 to 2597 of the family's 2925-position model. Lineage: Eukaryota; Metazoa; Arthropoda; Insecta; Coleoptera; Tenebrionidae. The record is from RNAcentral.
AGUCUGGCCUGCCCAAUGAUUCUUGAAUGGCCGCAGUAUUUUGACUGUGCAAAGGUAGCAUAAUCAUUAGUUUUUUGAUUGAAAGCUGGAAUGAAAGGUUUGAUGAGAAAAUAACUGUCUCUGUGUAAAUGUAUUAGAAUUUCAAUUUUAAGUGAAAAAGCUUAAAUUUUUUAUAAAGACGAGAAGACCCUAUAGAGUUUUAUAGUUGAUUAGAUAUAAAAGUUAUUGAAUUUAUUUUUUUAUUUUUAUUUAAUUAUUUUGUUGGGGCGAUGGAAAAAUUUGAAAAACUUUUUUUUGUUUGUAACAUUGAUUUAUGAUUAUUUGAUCCUUUUUUUUGGAUUACAAGAUUAAAUUACCUUAGGGAUAACAGCGUAAUUUUUUUUGGAGAGUUCUUAUCGAUAAAAAAGUUUGCGACCUCGAUGUUGGAUUAAAAUUAAAUUUUGGUGUAGAAGCUAAAAUUUUAGGUCUGUUCGACCUUUGAAAUUUU